CCUACGGGGGGCAGCAGUGGGGAAUAUUGGACAAUGGGGGCAACCCUGAUCCAGCCAUGCCGCGUGUGUGAAGAAGGCCCUCGGGUUGUAAAGCACUUUCAGUGAGGAAGAACGCCUGGUGGUUAAUACCCAUCAGGAAAGACAUCACUCACAGAAGAAGCACCGGCUAACUCCGUGCCAGCAGCCGCGGUAAUACGGAGGGUGCGAGCGUUAAUCGGAAUUACUUGGCGUAAAGCGCGCGUAGGUGGCUUGAUAAGCCGGUUGUGAAAGCCCCGGGCUCAACCUGGGAACGGCAUCCGGAACUGUCAAGCUAGAGUGCAGGAGAGGAAGGUAGAAUUCCCGGUGUAGCGGUGAAAUGCGUAGAGAUCGGGAGGAAUACCAGUGGCGAAGGCGGCCUUCUGGACUGACACUGACACUGAGGUGCGAAAGCGUGGGUAGCAAACAGGAUUAGAUACCCUUGUAGUC
Molecule: ribosomal RNA, 465 nt
Filed under: Vreelandella stevensii
Lineage: Bacteria; Pseudomonadati; Pseudomonadota; Gammaproteobacteria; Oceanospirillales; Halomonadaceae
Description: partial 16S ribosomal RNA
Rfam family: Bacterial small subunit ribosomal RNA
Source: RNAcentral